RNAcentral lists this ribosomal RNA (444 nucleotides) under uncultured bacterium. Its description in RNAcentral is "partial 16S ribosomal RNA". It matches the Rfam family "Bacterial small subunit ribosomal RNA", at positions 338 to 795 of the family's 1533-position model. The record is from RNAcentral.
CCUACGGGUGGCAGCAGUGAGGAAUAUUGGUCAAUGGGCGCGAGCCUGAACCAGCCAAGUAGCGUGAAGGAUGACUGCCCUACGGGUUGUAAACUUCUUUUAUCAGGGACGAAGCAAGUGACGGUACCUGAUGAAUAAGCCACGGCUAACUACGUGCCAGCAGCCGCGGUAAUACGUAGGUGGCAAGCGUUAUCCGGAUUUACUGGGUGUAAAGGGCGUGUAGGCGGGAAAGCAAGUCAGAUGUGAAAACCAUGGGCUCAACCUGUGGCCUGCAUUUGAAACUGUUUUUCUUGAGUACUGGAGAGGCAGACGGAAUUCCUAGUGUAGCGGUGAAAUGCGUAGAUAUUAGGAGGAACACCAGUGGCGAAGGCGGUCUGCUGGACAGCAACUGACGCUGAGGCGCGAAAGCGUGGGGAGCAAACAGGAUUAGAUACCCUUGUAGUC